This 165-nucleotide ribosomal RNA is filed under the name uncultured bacterium. RNAcentral's name for it is "partial 16S ribosomal RNA". It matches the Rfam family "Bacterial small subunit ribosomal RNA", at positions 1336 to 1500 of the family's 1533-position model. The record is from RNAcentral.
UAGUAAUGGCAGGUCAGCAUACUGCCGUGAAUACGUUCCCGGGCCUUGUACACACCGCCCGUCACACCAUGAGAGUUGGGAAUACCCGAAGCCUGUGAGCUAACAUUUAUGAGGCAGCAGUCGAAGGUAGAAUCAAUGAUUGGGGUGAAGUCGUAACAAGGUAUC